GGAUACCAAAUUUUUCAACCCAAAAAAUUAUGGGUAAAACGGGUAGGUGCCCAUUAAACAAUGAGCAUUUUGGAUAACCUGCAGGUACCAACGGAUACCCGUACAUAUAUUUUUUAAUUACAAAAUAUAUUUUCUUAAUUAAUAUAUAUUUUUUAUUUAUUCAUCCUAAAAAUUAUAAUCCUAAUUUCUUAUUACGUAUCUUUUAUAUUAGAAAUAUUUUUGCUUUAAGACUUUAAAUAUUUUUAUUAUAUGUUAUGAUAUUUUAAACAAUGAGUUAUAUUACGCUUUUAAAACUUAUGUAUAUGUAUUUUGCAUUUAAAAAAUAUAAUAACGAAAAAAAUAAAAUUGCGGGUAACCCGUAUACCCACCCGCCCAUUCGCAGGCGAGUAUGGGUAAAGAUGUUAGCUACUCAAAAAUUUGCAGGUAGAUUUUAUUCAUGCCCAAGUAACCCGGGGGUAUAAUAACCCGCCCGCGGAUUACCCAACCCGUCCGCGGGUUAUCCAAUCCGCCCGUUGCUAGGUCUACGUGCGCUGCAUGAGUUAAUUAGCAUACUAAAUUUAAAAAUAAAAUAUAUAUAUUAAAUUAUUUUUAAAAUAAAUAAUAUUUAAAUUUGUAUUUUAUGGUCUACUUUUAGAAUUUUUAUGAUAAUUAAACUAAAUAUUUUUUUUUUCUUAACUUUAGUUCAUAUUUAAAAAUGAUAUUAAGUUAUUAACAAUAAUAACUAAUUGAACCAUAUAUUUAAUAAAAUUUUUAAUUUUAUUAUUUAUAAAAACUUAAAUUAAAAAAA
RNAcentral lists this long non-coding RNA (787 nucleotides) under Ananas comosus (pineapple). RNAcentral describes it as "long non-coding RNA (ACOM_LNC014824)". Lineage: Eukaryota; Viridiplantae; Streptophyta; Magnoliopsida; Poales; Bromeliaceae. The record is from RNAcentral.